CCUACGGGGGGCAGCAGUGGGGAAUAUUGCACAAUGGGGGAAACCCUGAUGCAGCGACGCCGCGUGAGUGAAGAAGUAUCUCGGUACGUAAAGCUCUAUCAGCAGGGAAGAAAAUGACGCUACCUGACUAAUAAUCCCCGUCUAAAUUCGUGCCAGCAGCCGGGGUAAUACGUAGGGGGCAGGCGUUAUCCGGAUUUACUGGGUGUAAUGGGAGCGUAGUCGGCAGCACUAGUCUGGAGUGAAAUCGCGGGGCUUAACCCCGGAACUGCUUUGGAAACUGUGCGGCUGGAGUGCAGGCGAGGUAAGCGGAAUAAGUAAUGUAGCGGUGAAAUGCGUAGAUAUUAGGUGGAACACCGGUAGCGAAGGCGGCUUACUAGACUGUAACUGACGUUGAGGCUCGAGAGCGUGGGGAGCAAACAGGAUUAGAUACCCGGGUAGUC
RNAcentral lists this ribosomal RNA (440 nucleotides) under uncultured bacterium. Its description in RNAcentral is "partial 16S ribosomal RNA". It matches the Rfam family "Bacterial small subunit ribosomal RNA", at positions 338 to 795 of the family's 1533-position model. The record is from RNAcentral.